Molecule: long non-coding RNA, 1066 nt
Organism: Spinacia oleracea (spinach)
Lineage: Eukaryota; Viridiplantae; Streptophyta; Magnoliopsida; Caryophyllales; Amaranthaceae
Exons: 3
Source: RefSeq, a predicted model, not a curated record
UCCCUCUAUCUCACCCGACACUCUCCUCUCUCCCCUCACCAUGUCGCCUCUCUCCUCUCCGUUGAGCCGCCGCACCGCCACCGCACCGCGCCACUGCUCGAUCUGCCUCCCCUUUUCGUCGGUCACUGCUGAUGCGGUUGUUGUUGAUUUGUGGGGCAGAUUCACAACUUCUCUCUCCUCUCGUCUCCUCCCCUCUCUCGUCCCAGUUGUGUGACGCCGCCGCAGGUGGUGGUUGCAAAAACCACCCAUGUUGAUUUUCUUUCUUCAAUUGAAUUUCCUUCUUGCUUUUCCAUUUAAAUUCAAGGGUUAAUUGUUAGAAGAGGAAUAAAGAGAAUAGAGCUAGUUAUGGAGUUAAGUGGAGAUCGAUGAUCCAAUAUGUAUCUCAUGGAGUUUAUAUGUGCUGGUGAUUCAAGAGUUGUAUUUUGCAGGACUAUGAAGAUCAUGAGUAAGUUAUCGGCUAGAAGAUGCUUAAUGGUUAUUUCAAGGUGCAACUAAAUCCAGAUAAUGUUUUAAGAAGAUAAUUUUAGUUAUCAAAGUCGUAACCGAAGCUUUCUCAACUUAUUAUUAAGUUGGUUGUAAUUUAUUGUACCUAGGUAAUAUUUUUGGGUUAUUGUUGUUGAUUAAGCUUGUGAUUGAUUAUUUGAAGUUGUUGGAGGAGUUCAGAUUAUAUAGCUGGGUUAAUUGUAGUUUAUUAUUUAUAGAUUACAUAUUCGUGUUAGAGUUGUAGUUAAGUCAAGUUGUUUGGUUCAAGUUUAAGUGAGAUUAGAAGUAGCUAGCUCAUUAAGUGUGGGUUGUCACAGUGACACCCUGGUGUUGUUUUGGGAAAUGUUAUGUUGGAAUGUUGUAAUUGAAGCAGGUGAAAGAAAAUCUGACGUAAUAUCCUAAGCAAUGUUUUAGGUUGUCCAUAUUUAAGGGAAGUGCUGCCGAAUUUUUUUUUAUAAUUAAUUAAGUUUAAGAGUUUUAAUUAGUGUCUUUGAGAUCUAAGCCCGUGAUUAAAUCUUUGAAGUUGCUUGAAGAGUUAAAGUUUGUUUAGCAGGUGUUAAUUUGUAACUUGCAAGCAGCUCGU